Non-coding RNA from Ictidomys tridecemlineatus (thirteen-lined ground squirrel), 888 nucleotides. Lineage: Eukaryota; Metazoa; Chordata; Mammalia; Rodentia; Sciuridae. The record is from RefSeq and is a predicted model, not a curated record.
AUAGCUGGUACAUCUUGUGGGCUUAGGCACUAGACACUCAUAUGUCAACUCAUUUAAUUUUUAUAAUAACCUAAUGAUGGGGCCACCCCAAUCCUUACUGAACACAGCCAGGAAACAAAGCUGAGAAGUUAGCUGAUUUCACAGGGCACAGAGCAAGAAUGAGGCUGGAGAAGAACCCAGGGCUCCCUGGUUUCACGGGCAGCAUUUCUACACUGCACAGCAGUGAAACGCUCUCUGGCCUGGUUUCCUAACUGAAGUGAAACCAGAUGGGACACUCUGUUGGACAUGGUCAUGACAACAAGCCCUGCUCUGGGCUAUUUACUCAUCUUUAUACGCUCUUAGGUUAAGGAAAACGUGCCGUGUGGGUGUGGAUCCCCUGCUGAAAUCUGAAAUGAUUCAGGACCUGCUCUAUGCGUGACUCCCAGAACUCCAAUUUCCUCUGCUGCAAACCAAAUCCCAUUUUCACUUGCUACAGAUACAGAGUUAGGAGGAACGGCUAGAGAUGGAAGAGACUAAUGAGAGUCAUGUUAAUCAAGUCUGAGCCAGAGGCCUCCAGUGACACCAAUGCAGGCGCAGCAAAGGACAAAUCCCACAGAUGACCCUUCCAGGCCCCUUUCCUUUGGUGGAGGCUUUGGAAGAAGACUGGCUCAACCCAAGGUAGCUGCACGUUCUGCUGAUGUCAAUAGACCCACCCACUUUUCCUCUAGAUUUUAAUAUGGUCACCUGCCUUGAUCUUCACUCUGGUCCCCCAACAAUGGCCUCCUAAAUCAGCAAAGUACUUUGGCUCCUUUUCAAUAACAAAGGCUCUAUAUGAACCUAAUGAGUGAAACUAUGAUAAAUAUUUUAUAAAUGGCAUUCCGAGGCACGGCGCACGCACACACACACACA